This 23-nucleotide non-coding RNA is filed under the name Arabidopsis thaliana (thale cress). The record is from RNAcentral. Lineage: Eukaryota; Viridiplantae; Streptophyta; Magnoliopsida; Brassicales; Brassicaceae.
UCAAUAGGAUUGUGCUUCGUUGC